RNAcentral lists this ribosomal RNA (502 nucleotides) under uncultured bacterium. RNAcentral describes it as "bacterial SSU rRNA". It matches the Rfam family "Bacterial small subunit ribosomal RNA", at positions 9 to 521 of the family's 1533-position model. The record is from RNAcentral.
GAGUUUGAUCCUGGCUCAGGACGAACGCUGGCGGCGUGCUUAACACAUGCAAGUCAAGGGGGCCCAGCAAUGGGCAACCGGCGAACGGGUGCGUAACACGUGAGCAACCUACCGAACUGUGGGGGAUAGCCGGCCUAACGGCCGAGUAAUACCGCAUACGCUUUCAGUGAGGCAUUUCAUUGAAAGGAAACCUACGGGACAGAUCGAGGGGCUCGCGGCCUAUCAGCUAGUUGGCGAGGUAACGGCUCACCAAGGCAACGACGGGUAGCUGGUCUGAGAGGAUGGCCAGCCACAUUGGGACUGAGAUACGGCCCAGACUCCUACGGGAGGCAGCAGUGGGGAAUCUUGCGCAAUGGCCUAACGGCUGACGCAGCGACGCCGCGUGUGGGAUGAAGCUCUUCGGAGUGUAAACCACUGUUGCCCGGGACGAACAGCUCGAUUUCUCGAGCCUGACGGUACCGGGUGAGGAAGCACCGGCUAACUCCGUGCCAGCAGCCGCAGU